AGUGAACGCUGGCGGUAGGCCUAACACAUGCAAGUCGAACGGCAGCACAGUAAGAGCUUGCUCUUACGGGUGGCGAGUGGCGGACGGGUGAGGAAUACAUCGGAAUCUACUUUUUCGUGGGGGAUAACGUAGGGAAACUUACGCUAAUACCGCAUACGACCUACGGGUGAAAGCAGGGGAUCUUCGGACCUUGCGCGAUUGAAUGAGCCGAUGUCGGAUUAGCUAGUUGGCGGGGUAAAGGCCCACCAAGGCGACGAUCCGUAGCUGGUCUGAGAGGAUGAUCAGCCACACUGGAACUGAGACACGGUCCAGACGCCUACGGGAGGCAGCAGUGGGGAAUAUUGGACAAUGGGCGCAAGCCUAAUCCAGCCAUACCGCGUGUGUGAAGAAGGCCUUCGGGUUGUAAAGCCCUUUUGUUGGGAAAGAAAAGCAGCAGGUUAAUACCCCGCUGUUCUGACGGUACCCAAAGAAUAAGCACCGGCUAACUUCGUG
RNAcentral lists this ribosomal RNA (492 nucleotides) under uncultured bacterium. RNAcentral's name for it is "partial 16S ribosomal RNA". It matches the Rfam family "Bacterial small subunit ribosomal RNA", at positions 29 to 507 of the family's 1533-position model. The record is from RNAcentral.